UACGUAGGGUGCAAGCGUUGUCCGGAAUUAUUGGGCGUAAAGAGCUCGUAGGCGGUUCGUCGGGUCGGCUGUGAAAACCUGAGGCUCAACCUCAGGCCUGCAGUCGAUACGGGCGGACUUGAGUACUGCAGGGGAGACUGGAAUUCCUGGUGUAGCGGUGAAAUGCGCAGAUAUCAGGAGGAACACCGGUGGCGAAGGCGGGUCUCUGGGCAGUAACUGACGCUGAGGAGCGAAAGCGUGGGGAGCGAACAGG
Molecule: ribosomal RNA, 253 nt
Filed under: uncultured bacterium
Lineage: Bacteria
Description: partial 16S ribosomal RNA
Rfam family: Bacterial small subunit ribosomal RNA
Source: RNAcentral